AGCGAACGCUGGCGGCAGGCCUAACACAUGCAAGUCGAACGGAUCCUUCGGGAUUAGUGGCGGACGGGUGAGGAACACGUGGGAACGUGCCUUUUGGUUCGGAACAACUCAGGGAAACUUGAGCUAAUACCGGAUAAGCCCUUCGGGGGAAAGAUUUAUCGCCAUUAGAGCGGCCCGCGUCUGAUUAGCUAGUUGGUGAGGUAAAGGCUCACCAAGGCAACGAUCAGUAGCUGGUCUGAGAGGAUGAUCAGCCAUACUGGGACUGAGACACGGCCCAGACUCCUACGGGAGGCAGCAGUGGGGAAUCUUGCGCAAUGGGCGAAAGCCUGACGCAGCCAUGCCGCGUGAAUGAUGAAGGUCUUAGGAUUGUAAAAUUCUUUCACCGGGGACGAUAAUGACGGUACCCGGAGAAGAAGCCCCGGCUAACUUCGUG
Molecule: ribosomal RNA, 433 nt
Filed under: uncultured bacterium
Lineage: Bacteria
Description: bacterial SSU rRNA
Rfam family: Bacterial small subunit ribosomal RNA
Source: RNAcentral